UAAGAUGAGAGUUUGAUCCUGGCUCAGGACGAACGCUGGCGGCGUGCCUAAUACAUGCAAGUCGAAC
This 67-nucleotide ribosomal RNA is filed under the name Apilactobacillus micheneri. Its description in RNAcentral is "Lactobacillus micheneri partial 16S ribosomal RNA". It matches the Rfam family "Bacterial small subunit ribosomal RNA", at positions 1 to 67 of the family's 1533-position model. Lineage: Bacteria; Bacillati; Bacillota; Bacilli; Lactobacillales; Lactobacillaceae. The record is from RNAcentral.